AGAGUUGAUCAUGGCUCAGGACGAACGCUGGCGGCACGCUUAACACAUGCAAGUCGAACGGAGUUAAAUCGGAGCUUGCUUUGAUUUAACUAGUGGCGGACGGGUGAGUAACACGUGAGCAACCUGCCUUUGAGAGUGGAAUAGCUUCUGGAAACGGAUGGUAAUACCGCAUAACAUUACCGGAUCGCAUGAUCUGGUAAUCAAAGAUUUAUCGCUCAAAGAUGGGCUCGCGUCUGAUUAGAUAGUUGGUGGGGUAACGGCCUACCAAGUCGACGAUCAGUAGCCGGACUGAGAGGUUGAACGGCCACAUUGGGACUGAGACACGGCCCAGACUCCUACGGGAGGCAGCAGUGGGGAAUAUUGCACAAUGGGCGGAAGCCUGAUGCAGCGAUGCCGCGUGGAGGAAGAAGGUUUUCGGAUUGUAAACUCCUGAUCUGAGGGACGAUAAUGACGGUACCUCAGGAGAAAGCUCCGGCUAACUACGUGCCAGCAGCAGC
This 497-nucleotide ribosomal RNA is filed under the name uncultured bacterium. RNAcentral describes it as "bacterial SSU rRNA". It matches the Rfam family "Bacterial small subunit ribosomal RNA", at positions 8 to 518 of the family's 1533-position model. The record is from RNAcentral.